This 84-nucleotide transfer RNA is filed under the name Candidatus Heimdallarchaeota archaeon. Its description in RNAcentral is "tRNA-Leu". It matches the Rfam family "tRNA". From Rfam's summary of the family: Transfer RNA (tRNA) molecules are approximately 80 nucleotides in length. Lineage: Archaea; Promethearchaeati; Candidatus Heimdallarchaeota. RNAcentral also lists the same sequence under 6 other names. The record is from RNAcentral.
GCAGGGAUAACCAAGUUGGUCAACGGUGCCGGACUCAAGAUCCGGUGAGAUAGCUCUUCGUGGGUUCGAAUCCCACUCCCUGCA